UGCCAUCUCUUCUACUUUGUUGAUAGG
RNAcentral lists this non-coding RNA (27 nucleotides) under Mus musculus (house mouse). Lineage: Eukaryota; Metazoa; Chordata; Mammalia; Rodentia; Muridae. The record is from RNAcentral.